Molecule: ribosomal RNA, 109 nt
Filed under: Erpetoichthys calabaricus (reedfish)
Lineage: Eukaryota; Metazoa; Chordata; Cladistia; Polypteriformes; Polypteridae
Source: RNAcentral
GCUUACGGCCAUACCAUUGUGAAUGCACCUGAUCUCAGAAGCUAAACACCCUUGGGCUCGAUCAGUACUUGGAUGGGAGACCGCCUGGAAACCCCGACUGCUGUAAGCU